This 378-nucleotide ribosomal RNA is filed under the name uncultured bacterium. Its description in RNAcentral is "bacterial SSU rRNA". It matches the Rfam family "Bacterial small subunit ribosomal RNA", at positions 29 to 423 of the family's 1533-position model. The record is from RNAcentral.
AACGAACGCUGGCGGCAUGCCUAACACAUGCAAGUCGAACGAAGUCUUCGGACUUAGUGGCGCACGGGUGCGUAACGCGUGGGAAUCUGCCCUUGGGUGCGGAAUAACUUCUCGAAAGGGAUGCUAAUACCGCAUAAUGUCGUAAGACUAAGAUUUAUCGCCCAAGGAUGAGCCCGCGUAAGAUUAGCUAGUUGGUGGGGUAAAAGCCUACCAAGGCGACGAUCUUUAGCUGGUCUGAGAGGAUGAUCAGCCACACUGGGACUGAGACACGGCCCAGACUCCUACGGAGGCAGCAGUGGGGAAUAUUGGACAAAUGGGCGGAAAGGACCGUCGAUCCACGCAAUAGCCGCGUCGAGUGAUGAAGGACCCGUACGGGUU